This 253-nucleotide ribosomal RNA is filed under the name uncultured bacterium. RNAcentral describes it as "partial 16S ribosomal RNA". It matches the Rfam family "Bacterial small subunit ribosomal RNA", at positions 524 to 776 of the family's 1533-position model. The record is from RNAcentral.
UACGUAGGGACCAAGCGUUGUUCGGAUUUACUGGGCGUAAAGGGCGCGUAGGCGGCAAUUCAAGUCAGCUGUGAAAUCUCCGGGCUUAACUCGGAACGGUCAGCUGAUACUGUUUUGCUAGAGUGCAGAAGGGGCAAUCGGAAUUCUUGGUGUAGCGGUGAAAUGCGUAGAUAUCAAGAGGAACACCUGAGGUGAAGACGGGUUGCUGGGCUGACACUGACGCUGAUGCGCGAAAGCCAGGGGAGCAAACGGG